RNAcentral lists this ribosomal RNA (468 nucleotides) under uncultured bacterium. Its description in RNAcentral is "partial 16S ribosomal RNA". It matches the Rfam family "Bacterial small subunit ribosomal RNA", at positions 28 to 507 of the family's 1533-position model. The record is from RNAcentral.
GACGAACGCUGGCGGCGUGCUUAACACAUGCAAGUCGAACGGAAAGGCCCUGCUUUUGUGGGGUGCUCGAGUGGCGAACGGGUGAGUAACACGUGAGUAACCUGCCCUUGACUUUGGGAUAACUUCAGGAAACUGGGGCUAAUACCGGAUAGGAGCUCCUGCUGCAUGGUGGGGGUUGGAAAGUUUCGGCGGUUGGGGAUGGACUCGCGGCUUAUCAGCUUGUUGGUGGGGUAGUGGCUUACCAAGGCUUUGACGGGUAGCCGGCCUGAGAGGGUGACCGGCCACAUUGGGACUGAGAUACGGCCCAGACUCCUACGGGAGGAAGCAGUGGGGAAUAUUGCACAAUGGGCGGAAGCCUGAUGCAGCAACGCCGCGUGCGGGAUGACGGCCUUCGGUUGGUAAACCGCUUUCGCCUGUGACGAAGCGUGAGUGACGGUAAUGGGUAAAGAAGCACCGGCUAACUACGUG